GAUGAACGCUGGCGGCGUGCUUAACACAUGCAAGUCGAACGGGAAUGCUUCGCUGAUGCGAUUUCGGUCAAAUCUUGAAGCAUUUUAGUGGCGGACGGGUGAGUAACGCGUGGGUAACCUGCCCUGUACAGGGGGACAACAGUUGGAAACGACUGCUAAUACCGCAUAAGCGCACGGCUUCGCAUGAAGCAGUGUGAAAAACUCCGGUGGUACAGGAUGGACCCGCGUCUGAUUAGAUAGUUGGUGAGGUAACGGCCCACCAAGUCAACGAUCAGUAGCCGGCCUGAGAGGGCGAACGGCCACAUUGGGACUGAGACACGGCCCAAACUCCUACGGGAGGCAGCAGUGGGGAAUAUUGCACAAUGGGGGAAACCCUGAUGCAGCGACGCCGCGUGAGUGAAGAAGUAUUUCGGUAUGUAAAGCUCUAUCAGCAGGGAAGAAAACAAUGACGGUACCUGACUAAGAAGCCCCGGCUAACUACGUGCCAGCAGCCGCGGUAAUACGUAGGGGGCAAGCGUUAUCCGGAUUUACUGGGUGUAAAGGGAGCGUAGACGGUAAACCAAGUCUGAAGUGAAAGCCCGGGGCUCAACCCCGGAACUGCUUUGGAAACUGGUAAACUAGAGUGCAGGAGAGGUAAGUGGAAUUCCUAGUGUAGCGGUGAAAUGCGUAGAUAUUAGGAGGAACACCAGUGGCGAAGGCGGCUUACUGGACUGUAACUGACGUUGAGGCUCGAAAGCGUGGGGAGCAAACAGGAUUAGAUACCCUGGUAGUCCACGCCGUAAACGAU
RNAcentral lists this ribosomal RNA (787 nucleotides) under uncultured bacterium. RNAcentral describes it as "bacterial SSU rRNA". It matches the Rfam family "Bacterial small subunit ribosomal RNA", at positions 28 to 810 of the family's 1533-position model. The record is from RNAcentral.